Molecule: ribosomal RNA, 198 nt
Filed under: Triticum aestivum (bread wheat)
Lineage: Eukaryota; Viridiplantae; Streptophyta; Magnoliopsida; Poales; Poaceae
Description: partial small subunit ribosomal RNA
Source: RNAcentral
AUGGACGACAUUCACUGGUACCUAUGUGUUAUAAAUGCCAGAAAACUAUGUGUUCAAGUGCUCGACUCGCUAGGCCCAUCAAUGAACUGCAAAGACCUCACUAAUACGCUAGAGGGACUGGAUGAUUUAUUCAAAUAUGCAUCCGAGCACAUGGAAUUAAAAUUCGAUAAGUGGACUGAUCUAAAUGUUACAACAUGA